RNAcentral lists this ribosomal RNA (465 nucleotides) under uncultured bacterium. Its description in RNAcentral is "partial 16S ribosomal RNA". It matches the Rfam family "Bacterial small subunit ribosomal RNA", at positions 28 to 507 of the family's 1533-position model. The record is from RNAcentral.
GACGAACGCUGGCGGCGUGCUUAACACAUGCAAGUCGAGCGGUAAGGCCCCUUCGGGGGUACACGAGCGGCGAACGGGUGAGUAACACGUGAGCAAUCUGCCCAUCACAUCGGGAUAACUCCGGGAAACCGAAGCUAAUACCGAAUACGACCACCUCCGGCAUCGGAUGGUGGGGGAAAGUUCCGGCGGUGAUGGAUGAGCUCGCGGCCUAUCAGCUUGUUGGUGGGGUAACGGCCCACCAAGGCUUCGACGGGUAGCCGGCCUGAGAGGGUGACCGGCCACACUGGGACUGAGACACGGCCCAGACUCCUACGGGAGGCAGCAGUGGGGAAUAUUGGACAAUGGGCGAAAGCCUGAUCCAGCAACGCCGCGUGAGGGAUGACGGCCUUCGGGUUGUAAACCUCUUUCAGCAGGGACGAAGCGCAAGUGACGGUACCUGCAGAAGAAGCACCGGCCAACUACGUG